CCUACGGGGGGCAGCAGUGAGGAAUAUUGGUCAAUGGACGAGAGUCUGAACCAGCCAAGUAGCGUGAAGGAUGACUGCCCUAUGGGUUGUAAACUUCUUUUAUAUGGGAAUAAAAUGUUCCACGUGUGGGAUUUUGUAUGUACCAUAUGAAUAAGGAUCGGCUAACUCCGUGCCAGCAGCCGCGGUAAUACGGAGGAUCCGAGCGUUAUCCGGAUUUAUUGGGUUUAAAGGGAGCGUAGGUGGAUUGUUAAGUCAGUUGUGAAAGUUUGCGGCUCAACCGUAAAAUUGCAGUUGAUACUGGCAGUCUUGAGUACAGUAGAGGUGGGCGGAAUUCGUGGUGUAGCGGUGAAAUGCUUAGAUAUCACGAAGAACUCCGAUUGCGAAGGCAGUUCACUGGACUGCAACUGACACUGAGGCUCGAAAGUGUGGGUAUCAAACAGGAUUAGAUACCCCAGUAGUC
RNAcentral lists this ribosomal RNA (460 nucleotides) under uncultured bacterium. RNAcentral's name for it is "partial 16S ribosomal RNA". It matches the Rfam family "Bacterial small subunit ribosomal RNA", at positions 338 to 795 of the family's 1533-position model. The record is from RNAcentral.